CAGCCGCCACGGGAAUACGAAGGGUGCAAGCGUUACUCGGAAUUACUGGGCGUAAAGCGUGCGUAGGUGGUGGUUUAAGUCCGUUGUGAAAGCCCUGGGCUCAACCUGGGAAUUGCAGUGGAUACUGGGUCACUAGAGUGUGGUAGAGGAUAGUGGAAUUUCCGGUGUAGCAGUGAAAUGCGUAGAGAUCGGAAGGAACAUCUGUGGCGAAGGCGACUAUCUGGGCCAACACUGACACUGAGGCACGAAAGCGUGGGGAGCAAACAGGAUUAGAUACCCCUGUAGUCCCUGUCUCUAUACA
Molecule: ribosomal RNA, 301 nt
Filed under: uncultured bacterium
Lineage: Bacteria
Description: partial 16S ribosomal RNA
Rfam family: Bacterial small subunit ribosomal RNA
Source: RNAcentral